CUCACAGAGAGCGAGAGCUUCCGGAACAGAGAUGGCGGUCCUCGCAUCGGGCAAGCAGCAUCAGUCGGAAAACUGGACCAACAAGAAGUAGAAGAGACCCACAGCAGAGCACCAGCUAACAAGCCCAGUGCGCUGAGCCUCAUCGUGUAUUCCUUAAGAAACCUCUGGCAAUCAGUGCCACCCACAGGCACCAGGUGCCAGUAAACACGCCCAAACCUCUGGCCACAUGUCCUGAGAGAGAACAUCCGUCAUUUGUAGAUACUCCUGACAACCGAUUUCAGAAAUGACUCUUAAGAAAUAACUGUGGUACAUGAUCCCCUGCCUAGGAACUGCCAGAAUGCUUAAUUCUGGGGGCACUUUCUUGGGGGCACAUUAAAGUAUGCUAAAUUGAUCAGCUUUCA
Non-coding RNA from Peromyscus maniculatus bairdii (prairie deer mouse), 401 nucleotides. NCBI's taxonomy places the organism in Eukaryota, Metazoa, Chordata, Mammalia, Rodentia, Cricetidae. The record is from RefSeq and is a predicted model, not a curated record.